Molecule: ribosomal RNA, 431 nt
Filed under: uncultured bacterium
Lineage: Bacteria
Description: partial 16S ribosomal RNA
Rfam family: Bacterial small subunit ribosomal RNA
Source: RNAcentral
AACGAACGCUGGCGGCAGGCUUAACACAUGCAAGUCGAGCGCCCCGCAAGGGGAGCGGCAGACGGGUGAGUAACGCGCGGGAUCGUACCUUUUGGUUCGGCACAACUUCGGGAUACUGGAGACAACACCGGAUAAGCCCUAACGGGGAAAGAGUUAUCGCCGAAAGAUCUGCCCGCGUCUGAUUAGCUAGUUGGUGAGGUAACCGCUCACCAAGGCGACGAUAAGUAGCUGUACUGAGUGGAUGAUCGGACACACGGGGACUAAGCCACAGCCCAGACUCCUACGGAGGGCAGCAGUGGGGAAUAUAGGACAAUGGGCGCAGACCUGGACCAGCCCUGCCGCGGGAGUGAUGAAGGCCUUAGGGAUGUAAAGCUCUUUUGUCCGGGAAGAUAAUGACUGUACCGGAAGAAUAAGCCCCGGCUAACUUCGUG